AAUAAAAACCUCAUUGUAACCAGAACAACACUGGCUCUGAGACGUGUUGGGCAAAACAUGACCGCUUAGGCAGCAAAUGCGUCAGGGAGUGGCAGACCCCGAUGUGCGGGGAGGCAGUGGGAUAAUGGGAGCCUUGGGAGGCCCUGGUGGCCCUCAGGUGGGAAUAAUUCUGGAGAAAGAGCUGGUGCAGCCAGAAUGGUGGGAGGGCUGCUAGUGGGGUGGAGAGAAUGAUUUAAGGAUUAGAGUUUGAAGAAGUUUGAAAGUAGAAUUUAACACUCUAACAAGCUCGGGUGAUGGAUAAGGAUAUUUUAUCCAUCCCUCCAUCCCUCCAGAUUGUCUCUUUGGAGAAAGGGACAAUCCUUUGUUUUGGAGGAGUUUAUAAAGUGGAAUUUAUUUUACUCGACUCCUUCUUUGAUUGAAAUAUUGUCAACUUAACAAAAUAGUGAAAGAGCAUUGGCCUGGAGUCAGAAGACUUGAAUUCUCAUCCUAGAUCUGCUACUAACUAGCUGUUUGACCCUGAGAAGUCACUUUACCAGAAUUACAGUCUUUCUCUGAGAUGAGGAAAGUGGAGUAGAUAUGUCACUUGAGGUCCCUCCCAAGUGCUAAGAUUCUAUGACUCCACGAAUUCAGACUAUCAGAGGAGAACACUGCAGCGUUCUUCUACAUAGGUUGUAAAUGAGUCCGCUUGGCUUUUGGCCUGUCUCUCUCCUUGUUGUAAGAUGGCUAUAUUUUGAGAUACUUGCCGUUGAGAUACAGUCACUAUGUGGGAGGAAACCCAGGUGGCAUGGAGAGGCCAC
This 797-nucleotide long non-coding RNA is filed under the name Equus caballus (horse). RNAcentral describes it as "lncRNA (ENSECAG00000048361.1)". Lineage: Eukaryota; Metazoa; Chordata; Mammalia; Perissodactyla; Equidae. The record is from RNAcentral.